This 501-nucleotide long non-coding RNA is filed under the name Nicotiana benthamiana. RNAcentral's name for it is "long non-coding RNA (NBEN_LNC002851)". Lineage: Eukaryota; Viridiplantae; Streptophyta; Magnoliopsida; Solanales; Solanaceae. The record is from RNAcentral.
AAACUCCUUAUGAAGAAUGCAUGAAGCCUAAGCCAACUCCUGCUCCUUACUAUUACAAAUCUCCACCUCCUCCAUCACCAAUAUAUAUUUACAAGUCACCUCCUCCUCCAUCACCAAAAUACGUAUACAAGUCUCCGCCACCACCGUCACCAAAAUACGUGUACAAGUCACCUCCUCCUCCAUCACCAAAAUACGUAUAUAAGUCACCGCCUCCUCCAACACCAAUGUAUGUAUACAAAUCACCACCUCCACCAUCACCAAAAUACGUGUACAAGUCACCACCUCCCCCAUCACCAAAAUAUGUCUACAAGUCACCGCCUCCCCCAUCACCAAAAUACGUAUACAAGUCCCCGCCACCACCAUCACCAAAAUACGUGUACAAAUCACCACCUCCCCCAUCACCGAAAUACGUAUACAAGUCGCCACCUCCUCCAUCACCAAAAUACAUAUACAAGUCCCCACCACCACCACCACCUUACUAUUACAAGUUCCCUCCACCAC